GUAGUCCAUGCCGUAAACGUUGGGCACUAGGUGUGGGACCCAUUCCACGGGUUCCGUGCCGCAGCUAACGCAUUAAGUGCCCCGCCUGGGGAGUACGGCCGCAAGGCUAAAACUCAAAGGAAUUGACGGGGGCCCGCACAAGCGGCGGAGCAUGCGGAUUAAUUCGAUGCAACGCGAAGAACCUUACCAAGGCUUGACAUAUACGAGAACCCUGCAGAGAUGUGGGGCUCUUUGGACACUCGUAUACAGGUGGUGCAUGGUUGUCGUCAGCUCGUGUCGUGAGAUGUUGGGUUAAGUCCCGCAACGAGCGCAACCCUCGUCCUAUGUUGCCAGCACGUGAUGGUGGGGAC
Molecule: ribosomal RNA, 350 nt
Filed under: uncultured Ruania sp.
Lineage: Bacteria; Bacillati; Actinomycetota; Actinomycetes; Micrococcales; Ruaniaceae
Description: bacterial SSU rRNA
Rfam family: Bacterial small subunit ribosomal RNA
Source: RNAcentral